GGACUGUAAGUCGCCAGCCCCUGAGAACCACUGCUUUUCUUCCUGAGCUCUUCCCACACGCCCACACUUCCUUCUUCCCUACGAUUGGCUGACUUCUCAUUUGCAUAGCUCUGUCCGUGUGCACGCAGGCCAUCCAGGCUUGCGCUCCUUUUUUAUUACAGCUUGCCCGAUAAUCCUUUUGUAUGAUCACACUGCAUUUGAUUUACUCAUCAAUUUAUCUAUAGGUACCUGACUUCUUCUUUCUCACUUCUGUAAAUACAGCAGGAUGAUAUUCCAUUGUAUGACUAUACCAUGCUCACACAUCCAUCCAUCAGUUAACGGGCACAGAGGCUGCUCCCACUCUCUGGCUACCAUGAAGAGCAGCUAUGAACAUGGAUACGUUGUCACUGCUGUUGCUAACUGGAUUCUGCUGAGCUGAACUGCUGGUGUUAUCAGUGAAGUGCUUGCAAAGGAUCGAGCUGCUGCCGCCAGAUGACCUGUGAAUUGAACUGCUGAUUUCCAGACAACACAGACUGGAGUUGCUUCAGAGAACCUUUCUAAACAGGACACCUGACGGAAACAACCUAAAGAAUGAAGAAGGGUUUGUUAUUGUUGUUUGCUGUGUGAGAGAGUACGCCGGCUGCUGCUCACAUGAUCCCAGCUGUUAGGAAGUAGAGACAAAAACACUGACUAGAACCAGGGCCAGACUGCUGCCCAGAAGGCCUGCCACCCCAGGGAUCACUUCCUCCCGUGAGGCUCCACCUUCUAAAGGUUCCAAAACCUUCCAAGCCAGCUGCCAGCUGUAACCCGAUGUUCAAACACACGAACCAAAUGGGGGUGUCGAAUGGCCAAACCAAAACACGAUUCAAGUGAAAAACUGAAAGACUACUGUUGUAACCUAGAUAGAAUGGUGCGUGCGUGCGUGCAUGUGUGUGUGUGUGUGUGUGUGUGUGUGUGUGUGUGUGUGCGUGCGUGCGUGUGUGUGUCGGGGGGGGGGUUGGGCCUGAAGAGAAGACAGACACACGUAAAGCAGAAUCAGGUUUGACUAACUGACUGAAUGAAAAGAGACAAGGGAGGGUCUGACCCAAGAUUACACAGCUUGGGAGUGGCAGUGGUAUCACGAAUACGAACAGAGAUGGGAACGAGGAGACGCUCAUGGGUUCUAUUUUUAAUAUAGCAUGGCAGGGUGCUAACAGGGAAUUAGGUAUGAGGAAUGUGACUGGAGAGAGAGAGAGGUCACCUCUGGAGACCGCCGCUUUGGGAACUGUGUGCAUCGAAGUGCUAAUUAAACCCACAGGGCUGAUUGGAAGCUGCCAAACCAGGAAGCCCAGGGAGAGCAGAGUCUGCAUCAGACGCAAGCGGGCCAGGAGAAGAAGCUGGGAAGAAAGACUACCCAGUGCCAGAUGCAUCCCGGGCUGCUGGAUGAAGCAGAUAAAGUGCCCCCUCUACCCAAAACAAAAGCCUUUCACUCACAUAAUUCUCUGCUCUCUAAACUUCUGUUUGUUUCCACUGUAAAAGUUGUUUUCUUUCUAGUCCUUCCGUAGCCUAUUAGCUUUUUCAGUCUCAUAGUCCAGUAAUCUAAACAAACCAGCAUCAAUCAAUAAAAUACUCUACUUUCUUUCUGGGCUCCUGUACCAUGCAACACAUUCUAACACGUUCCAGUUAUGGUUUGGAUGGGGCUAGUCCUCCGAGGGCACUUAUGUAGGGAAGUUUGGUCCCUAAUGUAGCCGUGUUAGGAGCUGUGGUGUUAGCGCACACUUGUCAUCUCGGCAUUCAGAAGGAAGAGGUGGAAUGAUUAGCAGGCAAGCCUUAGAUCUACAGAGGUACGGAUGUAGCUUACUGGUAAGGCACUCGCUCGCCUAGCUCACAGCCCUUUCCCGGACAAACAAAGGCAAGCAGCCACACAACAAACAAACGAAAAACUGAACUGGGGUUGAAUUGACGGUGGUGUGGCCAUUAGGGGGUCACCUGUGGACAGGAGCAGAAUAGCGUAGUUCUUGUGGCAUCUGUAUGGGUUCCCACGACAGUGAGUUAAUACAUCCAAGUGAGACGAGCC
Molecule: long non-coding RNA, 2035 nt
Organism: Rattus norvegicus (Norway rat)
Lineage: Eukaryota; Metazoa; Chordata; Mammalia; Rodentia; Muridae
Source: Ensembl